CGAGAGAACGUUCUAGAAGGUGGAUGGUUGCGACACGGUCGGAUUCGGAGCCGGUUGUGAGUUGAAGCUCGGAGAGGUGAAAGAGUUCUUCGAGAUUGUUGGGAAGUAGAAGCGGUGGUGGAGUUGGUGGUGGUUGUUGUGGCGGAGGAGUAGUGGUGGUGGUGGUGGAAGGUGUUGUCGGGAGAGAGAAACUCCAUUGGGUGAAGCUUUGGGAGGUUGUGGAGGAAGAAGAAGAGGUGGAGGACUCGCAUG
Non-coding RNA from Arachis ipaensis, 252 nucleotides. The record is from RefSeq and is a predicted model, not a curated record. NCBI's taxonomy places the organism in Eukaryota, Viridiplantae, Streptophyta, Magnoliopsida, Fabales, Fabaceae.